Molecule: ribosomal RNA, 253 nt
Filed under: uncultured Dorea sp.
Lineage: Bacteria; Bacillati; Bacillota; Clostridia; Lachnospirales; Lachnospiraceae
Description: partial 16S ribosomal RNA
Rfam family: Bacterial small subunit ribosomal RNA
Source: RNAcentral
UACGUAGGGGGCAAGCGUUAUCCGGAUUUACUGGGUGUAAAGGGAGCGUAGACGGUAAUGUAAGUCUGAUGUGAAAGCCCGGGGCUCAACCCCGGGACUGCAUUGGAAACUAUGUAACUAGAGUACCGGAGAGGUAAGCGGAAUUCCUAGUGUAGCGGUGAAAUGCAUAGAUAUCACACAGAACACCGAUUGCGAAGGCAUCUCACGAAUCCGCGAUUGACGCUGAUGCACGAAAGCGUGGGUAUCAAACAGG